This 2430-nucleotide ribosomal RNA is filed under the name wastewater metagenome. Its description in RNAcentral is "bacterial LSU rRNA". The stretch from base 269 to 2356 matches the Rfam family "Bacterial large subunit ribosomal RNA". The record is from RNAcentral.
CCUUUUUAGUCAGUUUUCAUUUUUUUUCCGAUGGUAGACGAUAGCGACCAACCGGACACACUUUAAUAAAUAAAUUUAAAACUUAUGUACACAAAUUAGUUAUUAUAUUCGUAUUUUAGUCGUCUAGUGGUUAAGACAACAGGUUUUCACCCUGUAAACUCGAGUUCGAUUCUUGGCUAAAAUAAUAAUCUAAUCAAUACCAUAUAUAUUUAUUUUAUUUGAUCUUUAUAAUUAUCACACUAACUAAUUACCUUAAACAGUAAAGUAAGUCUAAAACUGAAGAUGUGUAAAAUCGCUGCUUAGAGUAUUUAAACCUGAUAGAGAAUAGUACCGCGAGGGAAAGGUUAAAUGAUUAAAUUAUCGUGAAAACUGAAUUUUAACGCAAACAAUCAAAUAAUGCGAAUGUAUUAUUGUACCUUUUGUAUAAUGGGUUGGCGAGUUAUUUUAUUAAGCAAGCGCAAGCGUAAAGAAAUUAAAUUAGUUUAAUAAUAUAGACCCGAAGCCAAGCGAUCUAAUAAUGAGCAAGUGUAAGGCUGAACUCAUAAAUGUUGCAAAAUUUUGAGAUGACUUGUUAUUAGGGGUGAAAGGCUUAUCAAGCUUGGUGAUUGCUGGUUCUCCACGAAAUCUAUCUUAGUAGAGCAAUUUUUUUUUUUUUAUUUAGGUAAAACUCUAAUAUAAUGCCUCAGUGUAACAUAUAAAUUUAAUAAUUAGAUAAAAAUAAAAAAUUAAGCAGACUUUUAGUGCUAAGAUUAAAAGUCGAGAGGGAAACAGCCCAGAGUAGAUAUUAAAGUAGUUAAAUAGAUUUAGUUAAAAAGAUGUAGCCGUUUUAUAAUACAGAGGUAGGCCUGGAAACAGUCAUCCUUUAAAGAAAGCGUAAAAGUUCAAGUAUUAUUAAAACUAAUUUGUUAGUUGCCAAUCUAUGUCUAUAAAUUAUAGCUAAAAUAAUCUAUACUGAAAUACUAUUAACAGGUAGUGGAGUGUGCUUUAUUUCGAUAAAGAAAAAAUGUCAAUUUUUUUGAAGAAAAAAGUAUUAAUUAUGCCAACAUGAGUAAUAAAUUAUUUUUGAGAAAAAAAUAUGCCGAAUAUUGACGUGGUUUUGUAGUUAUGAUAAUCUGACUACAUAAAAAACGAAAACUAAAUGCAAAAGUAACCUUUGGCAUGAUGUGUAAAAUAAAAACGCCAGGUUAUUUAAUAUUUAUAAAUACUUAUAGAGCUUAGUAAUCUGGUUUGAAAAAUGUUAUUUUAGUAAUCGUACAAAUACUAACACAAGUCAAUUAAUUGAGAAAAUAAAGGCAAAAGAGAGAACAAUACUAAAGGAACUCGGCAAAUUAUCUCUGUAACUUCGGGAAAAAGAGAGCUUUUAGAGCAUGAUCAAAGAAGGGGUAGCGACUGUUUAUUAAAAACAUAAGACUUUGCAAAAUAGAAAUAUGAGGUAUAAAGUCUGACACCUGCCCAGUGCUGCAAGAUGAAAAUUUAUAUGAAUAUAUAGGUACAAAUCCCAGUAAACGGCGGCCGUAACUCUGACGGUCCUAAGGUAGCAAAAUCCCUUGACGGGUAAGUUCCGUCCUGCACGAAUGGUGUAACGACUGCCCCGCUGUCUCUAGUAUUGACUUUAUGAAAUUGAAAUAGACGUGAAGAUGCGUUAAUGUACAGCUAGACGGAGAGACCCUAUGCACCUUUACUGUUAUUUAAUAAGAUUUACAAAUGAAGUGUUAUAUAGGUAUGUAGUAAUAUUAUGAGAAUGAAAAACUACUUAACACUUUGUUUAAAUUACCAAAAAUACUUAAUUUUUGCGAUGUUAAAAAGACAGUUUAGCUGGGGCGGCAACCUCCUAAAAAGUAGCGGAGGUGAAUAUAGGUUAAAAUUAUGCGUAUAAGCAGUGAAUGUUGAAUGAUAAAUUUUAGCUUGAUUAAUUUACAGACGAGUAAAUUAAGGACGUUAGUCUAUCAUAAUGACCCGAUUUUUUAUAAAGCAGAAUAAAUCGAUCAACGGAUAAAAGGUACGCUAGGGAUAACAGGCUAAUAAUUUCUUAGAGUUCCUAUCGAAGAGAUUGUUUGGCACCUCGAUGUCGGCUCAUCAUAUCCUGGUGGAGCAUACGCUGCCAAGGGUUCGGCUGUUCGCCGAAUAAAAUGGUACGUGAGCUGGGUUUAAAACGUCGUGAGACAGUUUGGUCCCUAUCUACUGUACACCUUUAAAAUUAUGUAUAUAUUUACUUCAGUACGAGAGGACCGAGGACAGACAGUCAAUUGUUAGCAAUUACACACAAAUGUAUGUUGCAAAGCUACACUGUAUAAUGUAACCAAAAAUUUGGGAACUUUGUAUAUAAGAAUUUUAAAUAGAUUAGUAGUUUACAACUACCGUAAAAUGCAUAUAGCGAACAUUAAGUAACUAAAGGAGCUAUAAACCUUAAACGAAAAAAAUCUAAUUUUG